RNAcentral lists this small nuclear RNA (18 nucleotides) under Arabidopsis thaliana (thale cress). Its description in RNAcentral is "snRNA_10644". The record is from RNAcentral. Lineage: Eukaryota; Viridiplantae; Streptophyta; Magnoliopsida; Brassicales; Brassicaceae.
CUCGAAUAUGUUUUGUAU